CUUCUUGGUACUGGCACUGAAUGGUGUGCCUUAAAGUGAAGCCUGAAUGUCUCAGAUUGAUUUCAAACAAAUGCAGCAACAAAUCAAGGUGUUCUUCCUUGGGAAGUGAUGGGUGUUUUGCCUACUGUCAAUCUCUGGUUUCUGAGAAUCAAGAAUCUGGAAGUGCCUUAGCUGGAUGCUUCUGGCUCAAGACUCUUCAUGAAUCUGCAAUCAAGAUGUCAGUGGGGUUUGUGGCCAACUGUCAACACGCCUGAAGCUGGAGGAUCAACAAUCUAGACAAAGUUGGUGCCCCACCUACAUCCCUUCAGCACUCCCUGGAGAUCAGCUGCAGCUUCCCAUGUACACUACUGUGAAUCCCUUAAGCACCGUGUCUUUAUGUCUAAGAGAGCAGUCUGACCCGUGAGUGGUACAGGGCAAACGUGCUGGAGAAUUAAUGUUCCCAUAAGCAACUAUCAACCAAUGAGGGAUUGAGGCUGGUAGAUAAAAUUCUGUAGCAGGCUUUGUAGGUCCUGGAAUUCUGAGGUGUACUCUAUAUGGUCUCUCAGAGGGCACCUUUCCCCAGUUUUCCUACUUCCUCAUUUUGCUGCCUCCUAAAUAAACUUCUAAAACCCA
This 612-nucleotide long non-coding RNA is filed under the name Homo sapiens (human). Its description in RNAcentral is "HSALNT0058185". The record is from RNAcentral. Lineage: Eukaryota; Metazoa; Chordata; Mammalia; Primates; Hominidae.